RNAcentral lists this ribosomal RNA (253 nucleotides) under uncultured bacterium. RNAcentral describes it as "partial 16S ribosomal RNA". It matches the Rfam family "Bacterial small subunit ribosomal RNA", at positions 524 to 776 of the family's 1533-position model. The record is from RNAcentral.
UACGUAGGGUGCGAGCGUUAAUCGGAAUCACUGGGCGUAAAGCGUGCGCAGGCGGUUUGUUGUGUCGGCGGUGAAAGCCCCGGGCUUAACCUGGGAAUGGCCGUUGAAACUGGCGGACUGGAGUGUGGCAGAGGGGGGUGGAAUUCCGGGUGUAGCGGUGGAAUGCGUAGAGAUCCGGAAGAACACCGGUGGCGAAGGCGGCCUGCUGGGCAGUGGCUGACGCUGAGGCGCGACAGCGUGGGGAGCAAACAGG